CACGCCCUAAACGAUGUCAACUGGUUGUUGGGAUUUUCGGAUCUUAGUAACGAAGCUAACGCGAGAAGUUGACCGCCUGGGGAGUACGGCCGCAAGGUUAAAACUCAAAGGAAUUGACGGGGGCCCGCACAAGCGGUGGAUGAUGUGGAUUAAUUCGAUGCAACGCGAAAAACCUUACCUGGUCUUGACAUGUACGGAAUCUCUGAGAGAUCGGAGAGUGCCUUCGGGAGCCGUAACACAGGUGC
RNAcentral lists this ribosomal RNA (245 nucleotides) under uncultured bacterium. RNAcentral describes it as "partial 16S ribosomal RNA". It matches the Rfam family "Bacterial small subunit ribosomal RNA", at positions 796 to 1041 of the family's 1533-position model. The record is from RNAcentral.